AUACACCCCACGAGUCCCAGAUAGGACGAAAGGUGCGUCCUGUAU
This 45-nucleotide non-coding RNA is filed under the name Schistosoma mansoni. Lineage: Eukaryota; Metazoa; Platyhelminthes; Trematoda; Strigeidida; Schistosomatidae. The record is from RNAcentral.